This 137-nucleotide ribosomal RNA is filed under the name bacterium. RNAcentral describes it as "partial 16S ribosomal RNA". It matches the Rfam family "Bacterial small subunit ribosomal RNA", at positions 338 to 478 of the family's 1533-position model. The record is from RNAcentral.
AAUACGGGAGGCAGCAGAGGGGAAUGAUGCGCAAUGGGCGAAAGCCUGAAGCAGCAACGCCGCGUGAACGAUGAAGGCAUUCGGGUGAUAAAGUUCUUCAUAGGGGAGGAAGAUGUGACGUACCGCGAAGCCGGCCG